RNAcentral lists this ribosomal RNA (163 nucleotides) under Draba chionophila. Its description in RNAcentral is "5.8S ribosomal RNA". The stretch from base 1 to 79 matches the Rfam family "5.8S ribosomal RNA", at positions 78 to 154 of the family's 154-position model. The record is from RNAcentral. Lineage: Eukaryota; Viridiplantae; Streptophyta; Magnoliopsida; Brassicales; Brassicaceae.
AAUCCCGUGAACCAUCGAGUCUUUGAACGCAAGUUGCGCCCCAAGCCUUCUGGCCGAGGGCACGUCUGCCUGGGUGUCACAAAUCGUCGUCCCCAUCCUUUGCGGAUAAGGGACGGAAGUUGGUCUCCCGUGUGUUACCGCACGCGGUUGGCCUAAAUCCGAG